Molecule: long non-coding RNA, 439 nt
Organism: Lemur catta (Ring-tailed lemur)
Lineage: Eukaryota; Metazoa; Chordata; Mammalia; Primates; Lemuridae
Exons: 3
Source: RefSeq, a predicted model, not a curated record
GUAGUGGCUCAGCCGCCUCCCCAAGGAAGACCCAAACUACCCUGAACACUGUUGAUGAAAACCCCAAAUCAUGGCUAAGCUGUCAUCAAACCCAUUUCAUGUUUGGUGAAUCUUGGUAGAAGAAAUGGUCUCAUUUUCUACUGUGGAAGGUGAAAGAGUCAGAUAUCUUUGCUGCCUUUGAUGCCUGACAGCUCAAGCACUGGCCAAGACUUAAAGUUGAUUCUUAGAGACAGGCCAAUUGUGGAGACUACUGUGGAUCCUGAAUGUAGGAGGCCUCUGCAGACAUUCACUUUCUGCCCUGGAACUUACGGAUCCUGAUCUUGAGAAGAGUAUGGACCCACACACAGCCAGGUGGGACUGUAUGAUACCACCUAUGCCAAAAAUAAGGCUAUCCUUCCUUUUUCCAAGCGUGACAAAACCACUUUUUUUGGGUGACAAU